UAAUAUUAAACAUUGAGAAGAUUUGACUAAGAGAAUUAAAUUAAUUUUUAAUCAAUCUUUACUUUGAUAAAAAAAAAAAGACUAAAAGCUUCAACACUUGAAAGGCAGAUAUGCAGGAAGGUCAACCCUGAAAUCGACGAGCGGCGUCCAAGUGCAAGAAAAACAAUGUCUUUAAUAUCUUCGAAUCCAUUUUUUUUUUUAAAAAAAUUAUGUUCUUUAGAAGCAGGUUUCUCUCAUUUCCUCUGGUGAUUGGAGCUGUUGUCAUUGGAGUUGUUUCAUGGAAGGCAAUAUUUGGACCCCAACUUGAUGAUUACUGGAAAAAGAAGCUUGUGGAAGAGGCAUCUACAAAAGGGGACUGACACAAGCUCAACCUAGCAGAUAGCGCUUGGAAUUUCUUCAUGUAUAAUUCCUUCAUAACAAGAGCAGAGAAAUCAAUUUUCCAACACUGUAGAGGCUUAUUAUGUGUUCAUGAUACUGUUUUCAAUUGAUAAAAUGUAGAAUCUGGGCACAUGAUACUGUAUUUUAGUUAAGAUGGGGUCCCAGCUACAUCUGUAAGAGGAUAAGAUAAAUAUUGUUUCUGGUCAUAAUCGGUGAAGUUUACCAUGUUAUUGAACUUCUCUGAGAAGAAGCUUCAAUUGUGCCAGAUCAAUCAACUAACUUUGUGUGCAGAAGACA
Populus nigra (black poplar) is the source of this 675-nucleotide long non-coding RNA. RefSeq lists it as uncharacterized. The transcript is spliced from 2 exons. The record is from RefSeq and is a predicted model, not a curated record. Lineage: Eukaryota; Viridiplantae; Streptophyta; Magnoliopsida; Malpighiales; Salicaceae.